GGGUUGUGAGGUUAAGCGACUAAGCGUACACGGUGGAUGCCCUGGCAGUCAGAGGCGAUGAAGGACGUGCUAAUCUGCGAUAAGCGUCGGUAAGGUGAUAUGAACCGUUAUAACCGGCGAUUUCCGAAUGGGGAAACCCAGUGUGAUUCGUCACACUAUCAUUAACUGAAUCCAUAGGUUAAUGAGGCGAACCGGGGGAACUGAAACAUCUAAGUACCCCGAGGAAAAGAAAUCAACCGAGAUUCCCCCAGUAGCGGCGAGCGAACGGGGAGCAGCCCAGAGCCUGAAUCAGUGUGUGUGUUAGUGGAAGCGUCUGGAAAGGCGUGCGAUACAGGGUGACAGUCCCGUACACAAAAAUGCACAUGCUGUGAGCUCGAUGAGUAGGGCGGGACACGUGGUAUCCUGUCUGAAUAUGGGGGGACCAUCCUCCAAGGCUAAAUACUCCUGACUGACCGAUAGUGAACCAGUACCGUGAGGGAAAGGCGAAAAGAACCCCGGCGAGGGGAGUGAAAAAGAACCUGAAACCGUGUACGUACAAGCAGUGGGAGCCUCUUUAUGGGGUGACUGCGUACCUUUUGUAUAAUGGGUCAGCGACUUAUAUUCUGUAGCAAGGUUAACCGAAUAGGGGAGCCGAAGGGAAACCGAGUCUUAACUGGGCGUUAAGUUGCAGGGUAUAGACCCGAAACCGGUGAU
This 693-nucleotide ribosomal RNA is filed under the name Escherichia sp. E2562. RNAcentral's name for it is "partial 23S ribosomal RNA". It matches the Rfam family "Bacterial large subunit ribosomal RNA", at positions 1 to 729 of the family's 2925-position model. The record is from RNAcentral. Lineage: Bacteria; Pseudomonadati; Pseudomonadota; Gammaproteobacteria; Enterobacterales; Enterobacteriaceae.